Molecule: ribosomal RNA, 383 nt
Filed under: uncultured eukaryote
Lineage: Eukaryota
Description: partial 18S ribosomal RNA
Rfam family: Eukaryotic small subunit ribosomal RNA
Source: RNAcentral
CAAUAGCGUAUAUUAAAGUUGUUGCAGUUAAAAAGCUCGUAGUUGGAUUUCUGGUGGGAGCGAUCGGUCUGGCGCUUAGCGCGAGUACUUGCAUCGUCUCCGGCCAUCCUUGGGGAGAGUCUGUCUGGCAUUAAGUUGUCGGGCAGAGGAUCCUCAUCGUUUACUGUGAAAAAAUUAGAGUGUUCAAAGCAGGCUUAUGCCGUUGAAUAUAUUAGCAUGGAAUAAUAAGAUAGGACUUUGGUACUAUUUUGUUGGUUUGCGCACCAAAGUAAUGAUUAAUAGGGACAGUUGGGGUUAUUCGUAUUCCGUUGUCAGAGGUGAAAUUCUUGGAUUUACGGAAGACGAACUACUGCGAAAGCAUUUACCAAGGAUGUUUUCAUUAA